GAUGAAGAACGUAGCGAAAUGCGAUAAGUAAUGUGAAUUGCAGAAUUCAGUGAAUCAUCGAAUCUUUGAACGCACAUUGCGCCCCCUGGUAUUCCGGGGGGCAUGCCUGUCCGAGCGUCAUUACAACCCUCAAGCUCAGCUUGGUGUUGGGCCCCGCCGCCCCGGCGGGCCCUAAAGUCAGUGGCGGUGCCGUCCGGCUCCGAGCGUAGUAAUUCUUCUCGCUCUGGAGGUCCGGUCGUGUGCUCGCCAGCAACCCCCAAUUUUUUUCAGGUUGACCUCGGAACAGGUAGGGAUACCCGCUGAACUUAAGCAUAUCAAUAAGCGGAGGA
Molecule: unclassified non-coding RNA, 329 nt
Filed under: soil metagenome
Description: partial contains 5.8S ribosomal RNA, internal transcribed spacer 2, and large subunit ribosomal RNA
Rfam family: 5.8S ribosomal RNA (bases 1-120)
Source: RNAcentral